This 23-nucleotide non-coding RNA is filed under the name Arabidopsis thaliana (thale cress). The record is from RNAcentral. Lineage: Eukaryota; Viridiplantae; Streptophyta; Magnoliopsida; Brassicales; Brassicaceae.
CAGGUUUACGUUUUUGGUGGGAA